GAUGAACGCUGGCGGCGUGCCUAAUACAUGCAAGUCGAGCGAACAGACGAGGAGCUUGCUCCUCUGACGUUAGCGGCGGACGGGUGAGUAACACGUGGAUAACCUACCUAUAAGACUGGGAUAACUUCGGGAAACCGGAGCUAAUACCGGAUAAUAUAUUGAACCGCAUGGUUCAAUAGUGAAAGACGGUUUUGCUGUCACUUAUAGAUGGAUCCGCGCCGCAUUAGCUAGUUGGUAAGGUAACGGCUUACCAAGGCAACGAUGCGUAGCCGACCUGAGAGGGUGAUCGGCCACACUGGAACUGAGACACGGUCCAGACUCCUACGGGAGGCAGCAGUAGGGAAUCUUCCGCAAUGGGCGAAAGCCUGGCGGAGCGACGCCGCGUGAGUGAUGAAGGUCUUCGGAUCGUAAAACUCUGUUAUUAGGGAAGAACAAAUGUGUAAGUAACUAUGCACGUCUUGACGGUACCUAAUCAGAAAGCCACGGCUAACUACGUG
RNAcentral lists this ribosomal RNA (497 nucleotides) under uncultured bacterium. Its description in RNAcentral is "partial 16S ribosomal RNA". It matches the Rfam family "Bacterial small subunit ribosomal RNA", at positions 28 to 507 of the family's 1533-position model. The record is from RNAcentral.